This 399-nucleotide ribosomal RNA is filed under the name uncultured bacterium. RNAcentral's name for it is "bacterial SSU rRNA". It matches the Rfam family "Bacterial small subunit ribosomal RNA", at positions 29 to 425 of the family's 1533-position model. The record is from RNAcentral.
AUUGAACGCUGGCGGCAUGCUUUACACAUGCAAGUCGAACGGCAACACGGGGGGCAACCCUGGUGGCGAGUGGCGAACGGGUGAGUAAUACAUAGGAACGUAUCCUGAAAUGGGGGAUAGCUCGGCGAAAGCCGGGAUUAAUACCGCAUACGAUCUACGGAUGAAAGCAGGGGAUUCGCAAGAACCUUGCGUUUCUGGAGCGGCCUAUGUCUGAUUAGCUAGUUGGCGGGGAAAAGCCCACCAAGGCGACGACGGGUAGCCGGCCUGAGAGGGCGACCGGCCACACUGGGACUGAGACACGGCCCAGACUCCUACGGGAGGCAGCAGUGGGGAAUAUUGCACAAUGGGGCGAAAGCCUGAUGCAGCGACGCCGCGUGAGGGAUGACGGCCUUGGUGUAG